RNAcentral lists this ribosomal RNA (324 nucleotides) under uncultured eukaryote. Its description in RNAcentral is "partial 18S ribosomal RNA". It matches the Rfam family "Eukaryotic small subunit ribosomal RNA", at positions 1470 to 1796 of the family's 1831-position model. The record is from RNAcentral.
CCCUUAGAUGUUCUGGGCCGCACGCGCGCUACACUGGUCGAUGCAACGAGUUUCUUUCCUUGGCCGACAGGCCUGGGCAAUCUUUGAACAUCGAUCGUGAUCGGGAUAGAUUCUUGUAAUUUUUGAUCUUAAACGAGGAAUUCCUAGUAAACGCAAGUCAUCAGCUUGCAUUGAUUACGUCCCUGCCCUUUGUACACACCGCCCGUCGCACCUACCGAUUGAAUGGUCCGGUGAAAUCUCCGGACUGGCGUGAGUCGGAGCAAUCUGACAAACGCCGGAAAGUUGAUUAAACCUUACCAUUUAGAGGAAGGUGAAGUCGUANCA